UACGUAGGUGGCGAGCGUUGUCCGGAUUUACUGGGCGUAAAGGGAGCGUAGGCGGACUUUUAAGUGAGAUGUGAAAUACCCGGGCUCAACUUGGGUGCUGCAUUUCAAACUGGAAGUCUAGAGUGCAGGAGAGGAGAAUGGAAUUCCUAGUGUAGCGGUGAAAUGCGUAGAGAUUAGGAAGAACACCAGUGGCGAAGGCGAUUCUCUGGACUGUAACUGACGCUGAGGCUCGAAAGCGUGGGGAGCAAACAGGAUUAGAUACCCCUGUA
RNAcentral lists this ribosomal RNA (269 nucleotides) under uncultured prokaryote. RNAcentral describes it as "partial 16S ribosomal RNA". It matches the Rfam family "Bacterial small subunit ribosomal RNA", at positions 524 to 792 of the family's 1533-position model. The record is from RNAcentral.